This 402-nucleotide ribosomal RNA is filed under the name uncultured bacterium. Its description in RNAcentral is "bacterial SSU rRNA". It matches the Rfam family "Bacterial small subunit ribosomal RNA", at positions 355 to 774 of the family's 1533-position model. The record is from RNAcentral.
UGGGGAAUAUUGGACAAUGGGCGCAAGCCUGAUCCAGCCAUGCCGCGUGAGUGAUGAAGGCCUUAGGGUUGUAAAGCUCUUUUAGCAGGGAAGAUAAUGACGGUACCUGCAGAAAAAGCCCCGGCUAACUUCGUGCCAGCAGCCGCGGUAAUACGAAGGGGGCUAGCGUUGCUCGGAAUUACUGGGCGUAAAGCGCACGUAGGCGGACUCUUAAGUCGGUGGUGAAAUCCUGGAGCUCAACUCCAGAACUGCCUUCGAUACUGGGAGUCUUGAGUUCGGGAGAGNUGAGUUGAACGGCGAGUGUAGAGGUGAAAUUCGUAGAUAUUCGCAAGAACACCAGUGGCGAAGGCGGCUCACUGGCCCGAUACUGACGCUGAGGUGCGAAAGCGUGGGGAGCAAACA